Molecule: ribosomal RNA, 409 nt
Filed under: Acarospora schleicheri
Lineage: Eukaryota; Fungi; Ascomycota; Lecanoromycetes; Acarosporales; Acarosporaceae
Description: partial 18S ribosomal RNA
Source: RNAcentral
AACAAGGUUUCCGUAUGCGAGGAAUUCUGCAACCACCUCUGAAGCCUUGAAUCCACAAGCCUGCAUCAUGCAGACAACACUAGUCAUUUGCUGGAACUUAAUUGUUUUAAAAACCGGCAGCCACAAUGCUGAUGCAUUGGGGUCCACAGAUCAAGCACUAGUGGUCUACUCGUCCAUAAGACAUCUACCGCACCCCUGUUGGGGCUGUGCCUCCGGGGAAAAUCUUCCGGAGUGCCCGUGACUGCUCUGCGUCUGAGGGGUCUGUAGGUUAACCGAGAUCGGAAGCAGGUCUCUACGCUUUGCUUGUAGAUAUGUUUUGGAGUUCACUUGGUAGAUUAAAAUAUGACCGACCUCCUCUAGUAACAGAGGAGACCUUGUGUUCCGUAGGUGAACCUGCGGAAGGAUCAUU